Molecule: non-coding RNA, 21 nt
Filed under: Caenorhabditis elegans
Lineage: Eukaryota; Metazoa; Nematoda; Chromadorea; Rhabditida; Rhabditidae
Source: RNAcentral
UUAACAUUUUUGGCAUUUUCG